CCAAUAGCGUAUAUUAAAGUUGUUGCAGUUAAAAAGCUCGUAGUUGAACUUCGGGGUUUACUCAUUGGUCAGGCUUAAUUGUCUGUACUGGUGAGAUGAAUCUCUACCUUCUGAGGAACUUUCAUGUCAUUUAUUUGGUGUGAUUGGAAAUCAGGACUGUUACUUUGAAAAAAUUAGAGUGUUUAAAGCAGGCUAACGUCUGAAUACAUUAGCAUGGAAUAAUGAAAUAGGACGGACUGAUUCUAUUUCGUUGGUUUCUAGGAUCACCGUAAUGAUUAAUAGGGAUAGUUGGGGGCAUUAGUAUUCAAUUGUCAGAGGUGAAAUUCUUGGAUUUAUUGAAGACUAACUACUGCGAAAGCAUUUGCCCAGGAUGUUUUCAUUAAUCAAGAACGAAAGUUAGGGGAUCGAAGACGAUCAGAUACCGUCGUAGUCUUAACCAUAAACUAUGCCGACUAGGGAUCGCACGAAGUUAAUUUUAUAAUGACGCGUUCGGCACCUUACG
This 502-nucleotide ribosomal RNA is filed under the name uncultured Glomeromycotina. RNAcentral describes it as "partial small subunit ribosomal RNA". It matches the Rfam family "Eukaryotic small subunit ribosomal RNA", at positions 591 to 1092 of the family's 1831-position model. Lineage: Eukaryota; Fungi; Glomeromycota. The record is from RNAcentral.